This 3184-nucleotide ribosomal RNA is filed under the name Drosophila miranda. Its description in RNAcentral is "eukaryotic LSU rRNA". It matches the Rfam family "Eukaryotic large subunit ribosomal RNA", at positions 34 to 2700 of the family's 3401-position model. The record is from RNAcentral. Lineage: Eukaryota; Metazoa; Arthropoda; Insecta; Diptera; Drosophilidae.
UUAAGCAUAUUAAUUAGGGGAGGAAAAGAAACUAACCAGGAUUUUCUUAGUAGCGGCGAGCGAAAAGAAAUCAGUUCAGCACUAAGUCACUUUGUCUAUAUGGCAAAUGUGAGAUGCAGUGUAUGGAACGUCAAUAUUCUAGUAUGAGAAAUUAACGAUUUAAGUCCUUCUUAAAUGAGGCCAUUUACCCAUAGAGGGUGCCAGGCCCGUAUAACGUUAAUGAUUACUAGAUGAUGUUUCCAAAGAGUCGUGUUGCUUGAUAGUGCAGCACUAAGUGGGUGGUAAACUCCAUCUAAAACUAAAUAUAACCAUGAGACCGAUAGUAAACAAGUACCGUGAGGGAAAGUUGAAAAGAACUCUGAAUAGAGAGUUAAACAGUACGUGAAACUGCUUAGAGGUUAAGCCCGAUGAACCUGAAUAUCCGUUAUGGAAAAUUCAUCAUUAAAGUUGUAAUAUUUUUAAAAUAUUAUAAUAAUAGUGUGCAUUUUUUCCAUAUAAGGACAUUGUAAUCUAUUAGCAUAUAACAAAUUUAUCAUAAAAUAUGACUUAUAGUUUAUUCAAAUUAUUAUGCUUGCAUUUUAACAUAGAAUAAAUGUCAUUAAUUUGAUAAAGUGUUGAUAAAUUAAAAUUAAUACAGUGCGUUAAUUUUUCGAAAUUAUAUAAUGGCAUAAUUAUCAUCGAUUUUUGUGUUUAUUAUAUGCAUUUGUAUGAUUAACAAUGCGAAAGAUUCAGGAUACCUUCGGGACCCGUCUUGAAACACGGACCAAGGAGUCUAACAUAUGUGCAAGUUAUUGGGAGAUAAACCUAAUAGCGUAAUUAACUUGACUAAUAAUGGGAUUAGUUUUUUAACUAUUUAUAGAUAAUUAACACAAUCCCGGGGCGUUCUAUAUAGUUAUGUAUAAUAAUAUUUAUAUUAUUUAUGCCUCUAACUGGAACGUACCUUGAGCAUAUAUGCUGUGACCCGAAAGAUGGUGAACUAUACUUGAUCAGGUUGAAGUCAGGGGAAACCCUGAUGGAAGACCGAAACAGUUCUGACGUGCAAAUCGAUUGUCAGAAUUGAGUAUAGGGGCGAAAGACCAAUCGAACCAUCUAGUAGCUGGUUCCUUCCGAAGUUUCCCUCAGGAUAGCUGGUGCAUUUUAAUGUUAUAUAAAAUAAUCUUAUCUGGUAAAGCGAAUGAUUAGAGGCCUUAGGGUCGAAACGAUCUUAACCUAUUCUCAAACUUUAAAUGGGUAAGAACCUUAACUUUCUUGAUAUGAAGUUUAAGGUUAUGAUAUAAUGUGCCCAGUGGGCCACUUUUGGUAAGCAGAACUGGCGCUGUGGGAUGAACCAAACGUAAUGUUACGGUGCCCAAAUUAACAACUCAUGCAGAAACCAUGAAAGGCGUUGGUUGCUUAAAACAGCAGGACGGUGAUCAUGGAAGUCGAAAUCCGCUAAGGAGUGUGUAACAACUCACCUGCCGAAGCAACUAGCCCUUAAAAUGGAUGGCGCUUAAGUUGUAUACCUAUACAUUACCGCUAAAGUAGAUGAUUUAUAUUACUUGUGAUAUAAAUUUUGAAACUUUAGUGAGUAGGAAGGUACAAUGGUAUGCGUAGAAGUGUUUGGCGUAAGCCUUCAUGGAGCUGCCAUUGGCACAGAUCUUGGUGGUAGUAGCAAAUAAUCGAAUGAGACCUUGGAGGACUGAAGUGGAGAAGGGUUUCGUGUGAACAGUGGUUGAUCACGAGUUAGUCGGUCCUAAGUUCAAGGCGAAAGCCGAAAAUUUUCAAGUAAAAAAUCAGUGAGUAAUAUUGUCAAAUCUUUUAUGAUUUUUAAAUACUUGAAUAAUUUUGAACGAAAGGGAAUACGGUUCCAAUUCCGUAACCUGUUGAGUAUCCGUUUGUUAUUAAAUAUGGGCCUCGUGCUCAUCCUGGCAACAGGAACGACCAUAAAGAAGCCGUCGAGAGAUAUCGGAAGAGUUUUCUUUUCUGUUUUAUAGCCGUACUACCAUGGAAGUCUUUCGCAGAGAGAUAUGGUAGAUGGGCUAGAAGAGCAUGACAUAUACUGUUGUGUCGAUAUUUUCUCCUCGGACCUUGAAAAUUUAUGGUGGGGACACGCAAACUUCUCAACAGGCCGUACCAAUAUCCGCAGCUGGUCUCCAAGGUGAAGAGUCUCUAGUCGAUAGAAUAAUGUAGGUAAGGGAAGUCGGCAAAUUAGAUCCGUAACUUCGGGAUAAGGAUUGGCUCUGAAGAUUGAGAUAGUCGGGCUUGAUUGGGAAACAAUAACAUGGUUUAUGUGCUCGUUCUGGGUAAAUAGAGUUUCUAUCAUUUAUGGUAGUUACUUGUUCCCCGGAUAGUUUAGUUACGUAGCCAAUUGUGGAACUUUCUUGCUAAAAUUUUUAAGAAUACUAAUUGGGUUAAACCAGUUAGUUCUUAUUAAUUAUAACGAUUAUCAAUUAACAAUCAAUUCAGAACUGGCACGGACUUGGGGAAUCCGACUGUCUAAUUAAAACAAAGCAUUGUGAUGGCCCUAGCGGGUGUUGACACAAUGUGAUUUCUGCCCAGUGCUCUGAAUGUCAAAGUGAAGAAAUUCAAGUAAGCGCGGGUCAACGGCGGGAGUAACUAUGACUCUCUUAAGGUAGCCAAAUGCCUCGUCAUCUAAUUAGUGACGCGCAUGAAUGGAUUAACGAGAUUCCUACUGUCCCUAUCUACUAUCUAGCGAAACCACAGCCAAGGGAACGGGCUUGGAAUAAUUAGCGGGGAAAGAAGACCCUUUUGAGCUUGACUCUAAUCUGGCAGUGUAAGGAGACAUAAGAGGUGUAGCAUAAGUGGGAGAUAUUAGAUUUCGGUUUGGUAUCGACAAUGAAAUACCACUACUCUUAUUGUUUCCUUACUUACUUGAUUAAAUGGAACGUGUAUCAUUUCCUAGCCAUUAUACGGAUAUAUUUAUUAUAUCUUAUGGUAUUGGGUUUUGAUGCAAGCUUCUUGAUCAAAGUAUCACGAGUUUGUUAUAUAAUCGCAAACAAAUUCUUUAAUGAGAAGAUGCAGUUAUGUAUUUUCAAUUUGAAAAUUUGGUAUAACUCCAAUUACUCAGGUAUGAUCCAAUUCAAGGACAUUGCCAGGUAGGGAGUUUGACUGGGGCGGUACAUCUCUCAAAUAAUAACGGAGGUGUCCCAAGGCCAGCUCAGUGCGGACAGAAACCACACAUAGA